Molecule: ribosomal RNA, 497 nt
Filed under: uncultured bacterium
Lineage: Bacteria
Description: partial 16S ribosomal RNA
Rfam family: Bacterial small subunit ribosomal RNA
Source: RNAcentral
GAUGAACGCUGGCGGCGUGCCUAAUACAUGCAAGUCGAGCGAACAGACGAGGAGCUUGCUCCUCUGACGUUAGCGGCGGACGGGUGAGUAACGCGUGGAUAACCUGCCUAUAAGACUGGGAUAACUUCGGGAAACCGGAGCUAAUACCGGAUAAUAUAUUGAACCGCAUGGUUCAAUAGUGAAAGACGGUUUUGCUGUCACUUAUAGAUGGAUCCGCGCCGCAUUAGCUAGUUGGUAAGGUAACGGCUUACCAAGGCAACGAUGCGUAGCCGACCUGAGAGGGUGAUCGGCCACACUGGAACUGAGACACGGUCCAGACUCCUACGGGAGGCAGCAGUAGGGAAUCUUCCGCAAUGGGCGAAAGCCUGACGGAGCAACGCCGCGUGAGUGAUGAAGGUCUUCGGAUCGUAAAACUCUGUUAUUAGGGAAGAACAAAUGUGUAAGUAACUAUGCACGUCUUGACGGUACCUAAUCAGAAAGCCACGGCUAACUACGUG